CCGGUUGAUGAGACCAAGGCGAAUGUGACUUGGCCUACUGACUCUUGGCUUGGAGGUUGGGGGGGCGGGGGUUGGAGGUGGGGCAGGACAACUGGUGAGAUCUGAAAUCUUGGUGGGGGUACCUGAGGCCUGACUCCCUGCUGUAAGGCCAGAUCAAUAGCACUGCUGGCCUUGCCCUCACGUCAGCUGCCACCACAGUACUGGCAGCAUCCUGUAGGGAGGCCCACAGGGGUAGCCAAAGUGUGAGUAGCCAUGUGAGCACAACCUUGAAUCUGACA
This 278-nucleotide small nucleolar RNA is filed under the name Mus pahari (shrew mouse). Lineage: Eukaryota; Metazoa; Chordata; Mammalia; Rodentia; Muridae. The record is from RNAcentral.